RNAcentral lists this ribosomal RNA (497 nucleotides) under uncultured bacterium. Its description in RNAcentral is "partial 16S ribosomal RNA". It matches the Rfam family "Bacterial small subunit ribosomal RNA", at positions 28 to 507 of the family's 1533-position model. The record is from RNAcentral.
GAUGAACGCUGGCGGCGUGCCUAAUACAUGCAAGUCGAGCGAACGGACGAGAGGCUUGCUUCUCUGAUGUUAGCGGCGGACGGGUGAGUAACACGUGGAUAACCUACCUAUAAGACUGGGAUAACUUCGGGAAACCGUAGCUAAUACCGGAUAAUAUUUUGAACCGCAUGGUUCAAAAGUGAAAGACGGUCUUGCUGUCACUUAUAGAUGGAUCCGCGCUGCAUUAGCUAGUUGGUAAGGUAACGGCUUACCAAGGCAACGAUGCAUAGCCGACCUGAGAGGGUGAUCGGCCACACUGGAACUGAGACACGGUCCAGACUCCUACGGGAGGCAGCAGUAGGGAAUCUUCCGCAAUGGGCGAAAGCCUGACGGAGCAACGCCGCGUGAGUGAUGAGGGUCUUCGGAUCGUAAAACUCUGUUAUUAGGGAAGAACAUAUGUGUAAGUAACUGUGCACAUCUUGACGGUACCUAAUCAGAAAGCCACGGCUAACUACGUG